This 253-nucleotide ribosomal RNA is filed under the name uncultured bacterium. Its description in RNAcentral is "partial 16S ribosomal RNA". It matches the Rfam family "Bacterial small subunit ribosomal RNA", at positions 524 to 776 of the family's 1533-position model. The record is from RNAcentral.
UACGAAAGGGGCUAGCGUUGUUCGGAAUUACUGGGCGUAAAGCGCACGUAGGCGGAUGUUCAAGUCGGGGGUGAAAUCCCGGGGCUCAACCCCGGAAUGGCCUCCGAUACUGGAUGUCUUGAGGUCUGGAGAGGUGGGUGGAAGUCCGAGUGUAGAGGUGAAAUUCGUAGAUAUUCGGAGGAACACCAGUGGCGAAGGCGGCCCACUGGCCAGAUACUGACGCUGAGGUGCGAAAGCGUGGGGAGCAAACAGG